This 253-nucleotide ribosomal RNA is filed under the name uncultured bacterium. Its description in RNAcentral is "partial 16S ribosomal RNA". It matches the Rfam family "Bacterial small subunit ribosomal RNA", at positions 524 to 776 of the family's 1533-position model. The record is from RNAcentral.
UACAGAGGUCCCAAGCGUUGUUCGGAUUCAUUGGGCGUAAAGGGUGCGUAGGCGGCGCGGUAAGUCGGGUGUGAAAUUUCGGAGCUUAACUCCGAAACUGCAUUCGAUACUGGCGUGCUUGAGGACUGGAGAGGAGAGUGGAAUUCAUGGUGUAGCAGUGAAAUGCGUAGAGAUCAUGAGGAAGACCAGUGGCGAAGGCGGGUCUCUGGACAGUUCCUGACGCUGAGGCACGAAGGUCAGGGGAGCAAACGGG